Mycena rebaudengoi is the source of this 96-nucleotide non-coding RNA. NCBI's taxonomy places the organism in Eukaryota, Fungi, Basidiomycota, Agaricomycetes, Agaricales, Mycenaceae. The record is from the annotation of a GenBank genome assembly.
GCCCUUGUGGAUGAAUUGGACAUCACCCAUUUUGAGUAUGAUACGAUCCGACGAAUGUCGAAAUGGGAGGUGGAAGUUCAAAUCCUCCCGAGGACA